Molecule: ribosomal RNA, 250 nt
Filed under: uncultured bacterium
Lineage: Bacteria
Description: partial 16S ribosomal RNA
Rfam family: Bacterial small subunit ribosomal RNA
Source: RNAcentral
GACAGAGGGUGCGAACGUUGCUCGGAAUUACUGGGCGUAAAGCGCGUGUAGGCGGAUGCGCAAGUCCGUUGUGAAAUCCCUGGGCUCAACCCAGGAACUGCAUCGGAAACUGCAUAUCUUGAGUAAUGGAGAGGGAAGUGGAAUUCCCGGUGUAGAGGUGAAAUUCGUAGAUAUCGGGAGGAACACCAGUGGCGAAGGCGGCUUCCUGGACAUUUACUGACGCUGAGACGCGAAAGCGUGGGGAGCAAAC